UCAGGAUGAACGCUGGCGGCGUGCUUAACACAUGCAAGUCGAACGAAGCAGUUAUACGAUCCCUCGGGGUGACGAUUACUGACUGAGUGGCGGACGGGUGAGUAACGCGUGGGUAACCUGCCUUGUACAGGGGGACAACAGUUGGAAACGACUGCUAAUACCGCAUAAGCGCACAGCUUCGCAUGAAGCAGUGUGAAAAGUAUUUUCGGUACAAGAUGGACCCGCGUCUGAUUAGGCUAGUUGGUGAGGUAACGGCCCACCAAGGCGACGAUCAGUAGCCGACCUGAGAGGGUGACCGGCCACAUUGGGACUGAGACACGGCCCAAACUCCUACGGGAGGCAGCAGUGGGGAAUAUUGCACAAUGGGCGAAAGCCUGAUGCAGCGAACCGCCGCGUGAGCGAAGAAGUAUUUCGGUAUGUAAAGCUCUAUCAGCAGGGAAGAUAAUGACGGUACCUGACUAAGAAGCACCGGCUAAAUACGUGCCAGCCGCAGC
This 494-nucleotide ribosomal RNA is filed under the name uncultured bacterium. RNAcentral's name for it is "bacterial SSU rRNA". It matches the Rfam family "Bacterial small subunit ribosomal RNA", at positions 24 to 518 of the family's 1533-position model. The record is from RNAcentral.